GGGCCUUNCUGGACUGACACUGACACUGAGGUGCGAAAGCGUGGGUAGCAAACUGGAUUAGAUACCCUGGUAGUCCACGCCGUAAACGAUGUCGACCAGCCGUUGGGUGCCUAGCGCACUUUGUGGCGAAGUUAACGCGAUAAGUCGACCGCCUGGGGAGUACGGCCGCAAGGUUAAAACUCAAAUGAAUUGACGGGGGCCCGCACAAGCGGUGGAGCAUGUGGUUUAAUUCGAUGCAACGCGAAGAACCUUACCUACUCUUGACAUCCUGCGAAUUUGGUAGAGAUACCUUAGUGCCUUCGGGAACGCAGAGACAGGUGCUGCAUGGCUGUCGUCAGCUCGUGUUGUGAAAUGUUGGGUUAAGUCCCGUAACGAGCGCAACCCUUGUCCUUAUUUGCCAGCGCGUAAUGGCGGGAACUCUAAGGAGACUGCCGGUGACAAACCGGAGGAAGGUGGGGACGACGUCAAGUCAUCAUGGCCCUUACGAGUAGGGCUACACACGUGCUACAAUGGUCGGUACAAAGGGUUGCCAACUCGCGAGAGUGAGCCAAUCCCGAAAAGCCGAUCUCAGUCCGGAUCGGAGUCUGCAACUCGACUCCGUGAAGUCGGNAAUCGCUAGUAAUCGUGGAUCAGAAUGCCACGGUGAAUACGUUCCCGGGCCUUGUACACACCGCCCGUCACACCAUGGGAGUGGACUGCAUCAGAAGUGGUUAGCCUAACGCAAGAGGGCGAUCACCACGGUGUGGUUCAUGACUGGGGUGAAGUCGUAACAAGGUAACCAANUCCNCGCGG
RNAcentral lists this ribosomal RNA (792 nucleotides) under uncultured Halomonas sp. RNAcentral's name for it is "bacterial SSU rRNA". It matches the Rfam family "Bacterial small subunit ribosomal RNA", at positions 721 to 1533 of the family's 1533-position model. The record is from RNAcentral. Lineage: Bacteria; Pseudomonadati; Pseudomonadota; Gammaproteobacteria; Oceanospirillales; Halomonadaceae.